Perognathus longimembris pacificus (Pacific pocket mouse) is the source of this 1815-nucleotide long non-coding RNA. RefSeq lists it as uncharacterized. The record is from RefSeq and is a predicted model, not a curated record. The transcript is spliced from 2 exons. Lineage: Eukaryota; Metazoa; Chordata; Mammalia; Rodentia; Heteromyidae.
UCGGCUCUCAUAUCAUCAAAGAAAUAAGCUUAGAAGUACUUGGAACAUUUUAACUAAAGUCUUAAGUUCAGACACACUUGUUUUAAUAUACUUGGAGGUUAGCAUUCAAUAAAAAUGGAACUUGCAACAUAAAACCAGCAAACACUAAGGAUGUCGGUAUUGAUGGCCCUCCUGCAAGACCAGUGGCUGUUAUCUGAGCAUGGAAAUCUUUUGAACAAGGAAGAUGGUAGAAUGAAUAAGGGAUAAGGAGGGCUAUCAAGUAUAGAAGAAAAUUUUAAAUCCUCCUUUGGAAAAUUCCUUAGUUCUCUAUUUGGGAAUGGAAAUUAAGUACACCUAGUUUCUGAAGGGAUUGUUGUUUUGUGUUCAGUAACUGUCCUCACAAAAACAUUAAGUAUAAAAUAGAUAUGGCUUGUAGAAACACUUUGAAAUAUGAAAUGUCUCCCUCCCUCCCUCUAUGUGUGUACACACACACACACACACACACACACACACACACACACACACCCAAGAGAUUAAAAGAGGAACUAUAUUUAGGAGGGGAGGGAUAAAACUAGGAAAACCUCCUUGACUUGAGUCUUGGAAGUAGUCUUUCCUCCCUUCUGUGCAGAGUUGAGGGGGUUUUUUUUGGUAGCAUAGUCAUAAACCAAAACCUCUUUUCCUCUUGGCCUUGGAAAACAUUAAAGAGCUACUGAUGAGCAAAGUUGGAAGCUAAAUAUUAAUAUUCUAAUUGCCAGUCCAGUGGUCAUUUUCUUAAGUUCUUCUGAUGGAAUGUAGUUAUACUACAUUCCUCAGAAAUAAUCAAGACUUUGACAACUUUGAAAAAUGUGCUCGAAAUGGUGGUUGUUGUAAAAGCAAUGUCAAUGUGACAGGGCAGGAAGACUGCAGAGCACCAUUAGGUUAGACUCCAGUUGCUGUUGUUUUACUUGUUUGAUGGUGGACAGUCCCGAGUGUGUUUGAACCUCGGGUUUCAUGUUUUAAAAUGAAGGCUUUAGAGUCAAACCCAAGUUCUAAUAAACUCUUAGUAAACAUCUAUUAUUGUUAUUGGUAUGUUGGUUAAUUAAACAGUAUUGAUGGUUGUAAACACCAAAACCAUGUUUUCUCAAAAACCUUUAUUUGAGCUUUAAACUGAAGAAUAUUCUUGUAGGAUGUCUGUCCCGGAGUAAUAGGAAAAGCAUUCAUGGGUUGUUAUGACCUAGUUUUCCAUUCUCCACUUAUAAGCAGCUUUCUUCUAGUGGCAGAUUGGGUUGAGUGCACAUGGCCUCUUCUGUAAGGGAAGGAGGAUAUAGUAAACUUCAUAGUGUUUUGCCAGACAUUCAUAUUUCAUUAUGAAAUAUAUAACUCAUUUCAUUUCACAUGUUAGUUAUCAAAGCCAUAUCAUACUCUUUUUACUUCAUUUGAAUAAAUUGACAUUUAACCACUAAAUAAAAAGAAUGCCUUAUUAAACCAACAUCAAAGAAAAUUUUAUCUGACGUUUAUUUCCUUAAGUAUUACUUGAAUAAAACAUACAUGAUUAGGGCCUUCAGAUGAAAGGAGAAAGAAGCUAUUUAAAUUUUUAAAUUGAACAAAUCUGUCUCAGGAACAGAAAUCCCAGAAAAAAAGAAGGGAAAACAAACAACAGUUUCAUUUAAAAAUUAAGCUUAAAAAGUAACUGCUUUAAAUUUCACAUUUAUUUAUAUUACCAGACUAAGAAUACUCUUUUUUUCCACAUCUCACCAUAUACUUUCCAUGUGGACUAUGAAGAUACUGUAAAUUAACUGUUAUAACAAAGGAUUCAAUGUAACAAUGUUCUUUUUAGUAUUUUAUAAUGCUCUUAUU